UUCGUUGUAAUUCAAGAUGAAUUUCCAAAAUUUAAGACUUGUCUUUUUGCUUUAAAAUGGUCUUAACAAAAUCUUAUCUGCGUUACGUCGAAGCUGGAAUCGUUGGCGUAGUGGGAAGUGCUAGAGCUAAUGUGUGUCUUGUUCAAAGUGGCGAGAAAAGACGUGAAAUUUGCCGCGCGAUUGUUCCCGCACUAGAAAAUGUAUAUAUUUGGGACGCUAGACUUGGCGAAAAAGUGAAUGUCUUUCAAGGUAACAAGAGCGAAGUGACAUGUCUCUGCCUCAGUCCUGACUCUGAACAUCUUGCUGUUGGUAUGGCGAUGGUGUCAUCAGAAUUUGGAAUAUAAAUAAUGGUACAUCCUCAGUGACAUUUAGGUUAAAAGACUUAUGGUGAAAAGACUCAUGGUGAAAAGAUUCAGGUGAAAAGAUUCAGGUGAAAAGAUUCAGGUGUAAAGGCUCAGGCAAAAAGAUCGAAGACUUCUGGGGACCUUCCAAGACGAUUCUUGGUGACAUGAGCUUCCUAAAAAGUCUACACACUUACGAUAAGGAUAACAUUGCACCAAGCAUUGUGAAAACCAUCCGUCAGAAGUACACCUCGAAUCCGGAAUUCGAUCCCGAUAAGAUCAAGACUGCGUCCACUGCUGCCGAAGGCUUGUGUAAAUGG
Molecule: RNA transcript, 661 nt
Organism: Xenia sp. Carnegie-2017
Lineage: Eukaryota; Metazoa; Cnidaria; Anthozoa; Malacalcyonacea; Xeniidae
Gene name: WD repeat-containing protein 3-like
Exons: 6
Source: RefSeq, a predicted model, not a curated record